Molecule: ribosomal RNA, 389 nt
Filed under: uncultured bacterium
Lineage: Bacteria
Description: bacterial SSU rRNA
Rfam family: Bacterial small subunit ribosomal RNA
Source: RNAcentral
AUUGAACGCUGGCGGCAUGCCUUACACAUGCAAGUCGAACGGCAGCACGGGAGCAAUCCUGGUGGCGAGUGGCGAACGGGUGAGUAAUAUAUCGGAACAUACCCUAGAGUGGGGGAUAACGUAGCGAAAGUUACGCUAAUACCGCAUACGCACUAAGGUGGAAAGUGGGGGGAUUCGCAAGAACCUCAUGCUCAUGGAGUGGCCGAUAUCUGAUUAGCUAGUUGGUGAGGUAAAGGCUCACCAAGGCGACGAUCAGUAGCUGGUUUGAGAGAACGACCAGCCACACUGGAACUGAGACACGGUCCAGACUCCUACCGGGAGGCAGCAGUGGGGAAUAUUGGACAAUGGGCGAAAGCCUGAUCCAGCCAUGCCGCGUGUGUGAAGAAGGU